This 462-nucleotide ribosomal RNA is filed under the name uncultured Rhodoferax sp. Its description in RNAcentral is "bacterial SSU rRNA". It matches the Rfam family "Bacterial small subunit ribosomal RNA", at positions 919 to 1382 of the family's 1533-position model. The record is from RNAcentral. Lineage: Bacteria; Pseudomonadati; Pseudomonadota; Betaproteobacteria; Burkholderiales; Comamonadaceae.
ACCCGCACAAGCGGUGGAUGAUGUGGUUUAAUUCGAUGCAACGCGAAAAACCUUACCCACCUUUGACAUGUACGGAACCUUUAGAGAUAGAGGGGUGCUCGAAAGAGAGCCGUAACACAGGUGCUGCAUGGCUGUCGUCAGCUCGUGUCGUGAGAUGUUGGGUUAAGUCCCGCAACGAGCGCAACCCUUGUCAUUAGUUGCUACAUUCAGUUGGGCACUCUAAUGAGACUGCCGGUGACAAGCCGGAGGAAGGUGGGGAUGACGUCAAGUCCUCAUGGCCCUUAUAGGUGGGGCUACACACGUCAUACAAUGGCUGGUACAAAGGGUUGCCAACCCGCGAGGGGGAGCCAAUCCCAUAAAGCCAGUCGUAGUCCGGAUCGUAGUCUGCAACUCGACUACGUGAAGUCGGAAUCGCUAGUAAUCGUGGAUCAGAAUGUCACGGUGAAUACGUUCCCGGGUCUU